GACGAACGCUGGCGGGGUGCUUAACACAUGCAAGUCGAACGGAAAGGCCCUGCUUUUGUGGGGUGCUCGAGUGGCGAACGGGUGAGUAACACGUGAGUAACCUGCCCUUGACUUUGGGAUAACUUCAGGAAACUGGGGCUAAUACCGGAUAGGAGCUCCUGCUGCAUGGUGGGGGUUGGAAAGUUUCGGCGGUUGGGGAUGGACUCGCGGCUUAUCAGCUUGUUGGUGGGGCAGUGGCUUACCAAGGCUUUGACGGGUAGCCGGCCUGAGAGGGUGACCGGCCACAUUGGGACUGAGAUACGGCCCAGACUCCUACGGGAGGCAGCAGUGGGGAAUAUUGCACAAUGGGCGGAAGCCUGAUGCAGCAACGCCGCGUGCGGGAUGACGGCCUUCGGGUUGUAAACCGCUUUCGCCUGUGACGAAGCGUGAGUGACGGUAAUGGGUAAAGAAGCACCGGCUAACUACGUG
This 468-nucleotide ribosomal RNA is filed under the name uncultured bacterium. RNAcentral's name for it is "partial 16S ribosomal RNA". It matches the Rfam family "Bacterial small subunit ribosomal RNA", at positions 28 to 507 of the family's 1533-position model. The record is from RNAcentral.